UACGUAGGGUGCAAGCGUUAAUCGGAAUUACUGGGCGUAAAGCGUGCGCAGGCGGUUCUAUAAGACAGAUGUGAAAUCCCCGGGCUCAACCUGGGAACUGCAUUUGUGACUGUAGAGCUGGAGUACGGCAGAGGGGGAUGGAAUUCCGGCGUGUAGCAGUGAAAUGCGUAGAUAUGCGGAGGAACACCGAUGGCGAAGGCAAUCCCCUGGGCCUGUACUGACGCUCAUGCACGAAAGCGUGGGGAGCAAACAGG
This 254-nucleotide ribosomal RNA is filed under the name uncultured bacterium. RNAcentral describes it as "partial 16S ribosomal RNA". It matches the Rfam family "Bacterial small subunit ribosomal RNA", at positions 524 to 776 of the family's 1533-position model. The record is from RNAcentral.